UUUUCAGCGUCUCAAAUUCCCU
This 22-nucleotide small nuclear RNA is filed under the name Arabidopsis thaliana (thale cress). Its description in RNAcentral is "snRNA_02801". Lineage: Eukaryota; Viridiplantae; Streptophyta; Magnoliopsida; Brassicales; Brassicaceae. The record is from RNAcentral.